Molecule: long non-coding RNA, 2682 nt
Filed under: Musa acuminata (dwarf banana)
Lineage: Eukaryota; Viridiplantae; Streptophyta; Magnoliopsida; Zingiberales; Musaceae
Description: long non-coding RNA (MACU_LNC003752)
Source: RNAcentral
UAACCCCUUCGAAGCAUGAGUGAAAUAUAAAGGUGUGUGUUCCAAUAAACUUUAUCCUCUUGAUUGAUGUAAUAAUAAUAAUAAUAAUAAUAAUAAUAAUAAUAAUAUUUGAUGUACGGAGAUUAAGUAACUUACCAAAAGAGUACCACGUGUCGUUGCACAGUUGGGGCUCUAUUUAUGGGCCGGGCCGCAAGAUAGAUAAAGCCAGCGAGGCAUUCCGAUCUGUACCCCACUCGUCGUGAAAGACGAGCGAAAACCAUGGCGGCGAUCGCGCACUCCAUCGGUGGCCCCGAGAGCGCACAAGCGCGAUCAGCGCUGACAGAGGACGGUGGCGCCGGUCGGGAGCCACGUCUUCCGUGGUGGUCAGGAUCUUAAGCAAGCCGUCACCGCCGCCGCUGCCGAGGACCUCAACAGAAGUUUGUCGACGCCGCAGACUCUUCUUUCCAGACCAUGGUUGAUUGAAGGUGUGAUUUCUGCCUCGACAAUCGUUUGACAUCUCUAAUUUAAUCUCUGCAAAACAAGGAUUCAAAUGGGUUAUAAGAAUUGGGGUACCACUGUGUUGAAUUUGAAUUUUAGGUUUAUCGAGUUGAUUGUCCCGAGGAUGGGACGUCAGGAUUCUUAGCUAUCUUAGAUGAUAAGCGCAUUUGAUUGCUAGAGACUGAUAGGUAUACUAUUAAUUUAGGCCUAACUCUUUUGUCGUCGCAUGGAAUGAAUGUGUCGUGAAGUUUUUCUGGUUCAAAAGCAAGUGUUUUUUGUCUCAUUCUAUUUGUAUUUCGUGUUCCUCAUCAUGAUAUUGCUGUUGAGAACAUAGAGUUGCAUGUCUGUAUGUUGAUGGAAUGGAGAACAAUCUGUAUGAAGUUUUUCUGGUUCAAAAGUAAGUUUUUUUAUCUCAUUCUAUUUGUAUUUGGUGUUCCUCAUUAUGAUAUUACUGUUGAGAACAUAGAGUUGCAUGUCUGUAUGCUGAUGGAAUGGAGAACAAUCUGUAUGAAGCUUUUUCUGGUUCAAAAGUAAGCUUUUUUAUCUCAUUCUAUUUGUAUUUGGCGUUCCUCAUUAUGAUAUUACUGUUGAGAACAUAAGAGUUGCAUGUCUGUAUGUUGAUGGAAUGGAGAACAAUCUGUAUGAAGCUUUUCUGGUUCAAAAGUAAGCUUUUUUUCCUCAUUCUAUUUGUAUUUGGUGUUCCUCAUUAUGAUAUUACUGUUGAGAACAUAGAGUUGCAUGUCUGUUUGUUGAUUGAAUGGAGAACAAUCUGUACCUAUCUCUCUUUCUACUUCCAUUUGUCUUUACAUUUACAGAGAAUAUCAAUCCGAUCUUACUUUGACUAGUUUGACUUAGAGUUGAAUGCUUAAAAGAAAAUAUAAUUCUUCCAAUAGAUGCCUCUUAAAAGUAGCUUGCAUUGGUUUGGUAUUGUUUGUAUUUCAGCAAGAGCCAAUUUGUAGCUCCUCAUGAAAUCUGAGAUAAGUGCCACUGAUAUAUAAAGUGGAUGAUUGUUUACAUCAAACUUAAUGGCACAAGAAAUGUUCUACAACUAUCGAAUAAAACUUUGUGAUGUGAAAGCUGUACAAAAUUUCUUUUUGAAUUUGAAGUCUCCCUCCACCAUCUUUUUCAUGCUUUAGGUUAUAGCUGAGCAUUAUUCUUGUAGUGAUGACACCAUUUUGUCAUGCUCAUGAUAAUAUUCAUCUUAUUAAGUUGAGGUUUGGCUGCAUGCACUAUCUACUCUGUUUGCUUGUUCUGUAUUGAUAAUUUGUGUUUCCUGUUUACAUGUAUUAAACUCUAUUAUCAUCUUUCACAAUUGUCACUGGAGAUAACUUUCAUAAUUGAAGUAAUAUAUGACCCAAAACUGUUGGUGCUGAGAUGAGUAGAUAAACAUGGCAAGUUUAUGGUGGCAACCAUGAGGACCAUUACCUUACCUAGCAGAAGUUAGAAGAAUCUACUGGAUCCUUCAACUUUGCACAAUGAUUAAAUAUGAUUACCUCACUCCUACCUGAAUGUGCCCACAUUUGUGUCUGCAGGCACUUUUGGAGUCAUUUCUCUGGUAUUCAUAUGCUUCUCUCUCAAUGUUAUCAGUCAGAAGUUUUUCAGGGAAAAGUUUACCUAAUGGAUCUAUCUUUUUGCCUGACAAAGAUCUGAACAUUUAUCAUUUUAUGUACAAAUUACAGCAACUGCAAAGAAACCUAGCUUGUUCAUUGCAGCUUUUCUUUUCACUCCCACCAAACAUAUUGAUAUGCCUGUCCUCAUGCAUUACUGGUCCCAACAUGCCAAAGUUUCAAUGCCUCCCCUUUCAUCAACUCAGAAAGGAAGCCACCAUGCAUGCAUCCUCAAACUAGCAAAACUGCACUCACUGACAACAUAACAAGCUUUCCUCGUGAAGUGAUUGUAAGGCUACCAGAAUGAGAGAUUCAACAUCAAAACCUCGGAGAACAUCUGAGGGAAACCCAGGUAGGUGAAGGCCACUGGAUGGGGGAACAUGAUAGAGAGAGAUUGAUUUGCCUGAUAAAGCCUAUCACACAUGUGGAGUGAGAGCAUGGAUCAACACUUGCAGAUACUUAGGGGAAUGCCAAUUUGGAUUGUGCUAUUUCUACUCAGGAAAAGAACUCGUUCAAAUUGUUCAAACUCUGAUGUCAAGUCUUUUGUAAGUAAUUCAUUGCCAUUAACUCUCAUCCUUUUUAUUUUCUUGUGUGGCAG